Molecule: ribosomal RNA, 466 nt
Filed under: uncultured bacterium
Lineage: Bacteria
Description: bacterial SSU rRNA
Rfam family: Bacterial small subunit ribosomal RNA
Source: RNAcentral
GAUGAACGCUGGCGGCGCGCCUAACACAUGCAAGUCGAACGGGAACACCCGUAGCAAUAUGAGUGUUUUAGUGGCGGACGGGUGAGUAACGCGUGAGGAACCUGCCUUUCGGAGGGGAAUAACACAUCGAAAGAUGUGCUAAUACCGCAUAAUGUCAUCGGGCGGCAUCGCCUGAUGACCAAAAGAGCAAUCUGCCGAAAGAUGGCCUCGCGUCCGAUUAGAUAGUUGGUGAGGUAACGGCCCACCAAGUCUGCGAUCGGUAGCCGGACUGAGAGGUUGAACGGCCACAUUGGGACUGAGACACGGCCCAGACUCCUACGGGAGGCAGCAGUGGGGGAUAUUAGUCAAUGGAGGAAACUCUGAACUAGCGACGCCGCGUGAGGGAAGAAGGUCUUCGGAUUGUAAACCUCUGUCUUCGGGGACGAUAAUGACGGUACCCGAGGAGGAAGCUCCGGCUAACUACGUG